RNAcentral lists this non-coding RNA (27 nucleotides) under Mus musculus (house mouse). Lineage: Eukaryota; Metazoa; Chordata; Mammalia; Rodentia; Muridae. The record is from RNAcentral.
GGCUUUCUCUGGAUCAGCUGCUUUGAC